This 495-nucleotide ribosomal RNA is filed under the name uncultured bacterium. Its description in RNAcentral is "partial 16S ribosomal RNA". It matches the Rfam family "Bacterial small subunit ribosomal RNA", at positions 28 to 507 of the family's 1533-position model. The record is from RNAcentral.
GACGAACGCUGGCGGCGUGCCUAAUACAUGCAAGUAGAACGCUGAAGGAGGAGCUUGCUUCUCUGGAUGAGUUGCGAACGGGUGAGUAACGCGUAGGUAACCUGCCUGGUAGCGGGGGAUAACUAUUGGAAACGAUAGCUAAUACCGCAUAAGAGUAGAUGUUGCAUGACAUUUGCUUAAAAGGUGCAAUUGCAUCACUACCAGAUGGACCUGCGUUGUAUUAGCUAGUUGGUGGGGUAACGGCCCACAAAGGCGACGAUACAGAGCCGACCUGAGAGGGGGGUCGGCCAAACUGGGACUGAGACACGGCCCAGACUCCUACGGGAGGCAGCAGUAGGGAAUCUUCGGCAAUGGACGGAAGUCUGACCGAGCAACGCCGCGUGAGUGAAGAAUGUUUUCGGAUCGUAAAGCUCUGUUGUAAGAGAAGAACGAGUGUGAGAGUGGAAAGUUCACACUGUGACGGUAUCUUACCAGAAAGGGACGGCUAACUACGUG